AGAGCGCAGCGCUCCAGAGGACUGCGUCACCCAUUAGCGGCCUUUGUGCAGGCCUUAACGACCCUUCACGACCUUCCUGCGGCGUCAGAAGAGAGCAGAGCGCAGGCCGCGGGACCGAGCCUGCCUGACCAGCUACUGCUGGUGUGGAUACCUCUGCCGACAUCGUGCAGCAACAUUGCUAUGAAAGCUGGUGCAGUCUCCUGCCUGGGUAAAGCUUUGCAGUGAGGAGACAGUUACCCCAUUCUGGUCAGGCCCUUCGGACAGUAUUGUGGGAACAACAGAUGACCUCCAAGCUUCACAUUCACACGUGCAGAGCCAGGGAACUGACUAUGAUUGCACUGAUAAGAUAGCUGUUGAACCACUAUCCACAGCCUCAGGCAAAAGGGGCUCGCAGGAUUGCCAGCAAUCAGCCUCACUCAACUACCAUCUCACUCCAAAUGAGAAAGGGAGACCAGAACACAGCAAUUAAAUUCUAGACACGGCAAAGGCAGAAGUCAACAGCAGGAUUUGAAGAGAUGGAACUUGAAGUCAAACGAUAGCUGCAAGAAGCAGAUUUGAGAUCUGAAAGGAGAUCUCAGACGUGUUCGGUUUCAGAGCACUCUGCAAUACUCAUUGUUUUCUCUAAGGACCUGGGAAAUAAUGGAUUCAAGAAUACAAAGAAAACAGCAGCUUGAGGGUUUUCUAUUCAAAACACAAUUGCAGAGGACUUUUUUGUCUGGAAAAGAGUCAACACCACUGAAGUCAAGUGAGCUACACGGACGUGAAAGCAAUCAAGCUAGCAGAUUAAAUCCCUGGUCUGGUGUAACAUUAGUGCAAAGGGAUUUUGUGUCAGCUCCUGCUGUUAACAUGAAGAUGGAACAGAGAGGUGGUUCUCCUGCUCGUUGUCCAGUGACCGUGUUCCUCAGGUGUGAUGUAUGGAACUAGUGACCUUCCUGAACACAAAUGCUUUCAACGUUUCUGCCU
This is a long non-coding RNA of Pogoniulus pusillus (Red-fronted tinkerbird), 963 nucleotides long. RefSeq lists it as uncharacterized. The record is from RefSeq and is a predicted model, not a curated record. The transcript has 7 exons. Lineage: Eukaryota; Metazoa; Chordata; Aves; Piciformes; Lybiidae.